GUCACAUUGUCUCAUCACAAAAUUGGAUUGCACAGAACUCAAAUGGAGAGGACGUUCAAACUCAGGAAUGUGGAGCACUCAUCAUCUGCUGUGGUCAAAGAGACAAUCUGUGAAGAAAGUGAACAAGGCAGAUGGAGAUAAAUUCAAAAACAGAGAUCCGAAAGGCUGCUAAGAGAGAAAGGAACAGGAAUCUCCCAGUUCCUGAGAGCCUCCCAGGCUUUCUCCCUCGAUGUUUGUGAGUUUUCCUGACAGCUUUACGCUCUUGGUCCAUAGGAAAAAUUUGUGACCUGGAUAUAUGUGUGUAUGCGUGUGUGUGUUUGAAGAAAGGUCAUGAGAUUUAUGUCAAUUUAAGUUAGUUUCUAUUCUUUAUACAAAUGAAAUGUCUUAAAACAUAUUGGUAAUACUUUGCUAUUUUAAUUUAACUUUGGUGCUUUUUUUUUUCUUGUUUGAUAACUUUCUAACAAACAUUGCAAAACCCUAGCAUUUUCUCGACUCUUCUUUCAGAUCCAUUAUUCCCCAGCUCAAGAACACACCAACCCCAAGUCCUCUCUCACCCUCCUUUUUGGGCUCCAGCAUCUCUGCCUUUGCUCAGCUCUUUCAAACACCUACAUUGCCUGCUCCCAGAGCUUCCAGUUAGUCUCCUACUCAAGUUCAAACUCAAUAGUCCCUCCUCUGCAACGUCUUCCAAAUCAUUCAGGAGGAAUUGAUAAUUUUCUUAUUUGUACUCACACUGCAUUUUAUAUAUUGCCUUAUACUAUAUUAUGUUUUUGUUAGUGGUUAAAUUGUUUCCCUCCCAAGGUCAGAGACUGGGCAGUCUGUGUACUAUUUGUCCUUUUAACCCGAUUACUUAGGUUGGUGUCUGGGACAUAAUAAGUGCUCAAAAACAUCAAAAUAUGUUUCUGUAUGACAGAACUCAGCAGUAUCACUGGGAGUUCAUUUAUGUGUAUGUGAGAUUUUGUGAACUCUCUAUAUAAAUGAAGUAUGCUAUUUUGAAGUAGCAUAUAUAUGUUAAGAACUAUAUAUGGCAUAUGGUGUUCAACAUAAUCAGCAAAUAUAGUAUUUAUUGAAAAUGGAGGGAUACAUUUUUAAAAAGUUUUCUGAUAACAAUAAGACAGAUUAGGGUUUUCUGCUCUUUUUCUAAUAAAACUAAAAAAUUAAAAACAUAGAGUCUGAAAAAAUUAACUUUUUGAAUUAGACUUACUUAUUCAAAUUGGAAGAUUGUUUCAUUAUUCAUACUAUUAAGAAAUAUAUAUAUAUUUGUAUGUGUGCAUGCAUACAAAGAUUUUAAAAUGUGAAGUAUACAUUAUUUUCUUCAGUUCAGCCAAAAAUGUUUUUACAAAUUUACCUCCAAUUCUUAUUUUAUUAUUCUGAACCCUCUACAUUUGGCAGCAUAUUAUUGUUAUUUUUAAUCAGUGUAUAAACAUCCCAGCAAGAAAGUCUUUCUUGUUAAAGAGAUAUUAAUCAAAAGAUACAACUUUUUCAUUACACAGAAGGAAUAAGUUCAAGAGAGCUAUUGUGCAACAUGGUGACUAUAGCUAAUAAUAAUAUUAUUGUAUUUUUGAAAAAAUGGAAAAAAGACUUGUGGGUGAAUUGAAUAAUCAUAUAUUUGGGGAAACUUAGACUUUGUAGACUUGUAGAUUCUGGCAUGAAUAAAAAAUAAAUUAUCUGGUAAAAAGCAAAAGAAACUCUUUCUCCAUUAGCCCUUUUUCUAUCUGCCUAGAGUAACACUGAGUAUUCCGGUACUAGCAGCCAGGAGGCCUAGCGUUGGCCCAUGAACUCACUUAUGAAUAGUCAUUUAAUGUGUUGCUUCUUCAGUUUAUAGCAAGGGCCUUCUCUGACGUCUUCUCUACUUCAGUCUGAAGGUUGUUGUGGAAAUAAAAAUAGGAUAAUGUGCAUGCUAGUGCUUUGAAAAGUAUAAAGUAUGAUAUAAAUGUAAGAUGUUAUUGUUAAAGGGGGUUUAAAACGACAGCAUAAAAAGACUUGUUAUAAAAAUAAAAUAAAAGUGACUCUAGUCACUUAUUUUUAUGAGGCACUUUUCUCUCUUUGGAAAAAUAUAAUUUACUAAUUCAAGAGAGAGCUAUUAAUUUCUAAGUCCUUCACAGCCAUUAAAGCAGGCAUGAUGACUUCAAUUCAGUGUACAAAUGGAGUGGGCAUACUGCAGGGGAAUGGUACUCUCAGGUUACAUAUAAAUGGAAUUAAAUUAAAUUAAUGAAAAGAGAAGAAAAGCAUGUGUAGAUAAAUAACUAACUCAUCUCCUAAGAGGCUCAAUGUCUGAACUAAGACAUGAGUUAAAAUAUAUUAAAUUUCUCACAUCUCCUUCCCGGACUCCCUCAAAUAUCAUUUAGAAAUUAUUUCUAAAAUACUAAAUAUUGAUAAAAAUAAUAUCUGUAUGAGACCUCUCACCCUAUUAUGUGUAAAAUUGUCAUUGGGUUUUAAGUUGAAUGGAGUGUGGUAUGCUUCCGAUGCACCUACAUUGAUGUAUCAAUGAGGAAACCCAAUAACUUUGAUGGUGUUUCCAAAACCCACUGUGCAAAUCACACAAUCUCAGAAAGUCAUCUUGGUAAAUGGUGAAAAACUGAACACAUGGCAAUAGGUACUUCUAAUUAGAUGAGGAUAUUAUUUAUACUUUGAUGUUAGAAUAUUCUAUUAAACUGCUUUGAAUUUUUUAUAAUUUUCAAAAUAUGAUGCCAGACUGAACAUGUGGAGAGUAAGAAAUGGAAAGUGAUUCUCUUAAGGGCAUCCUCAUUUGGUUGUUUUAUUUAUCAUGUGAUGCUUAGUGAUAUUUUGGUCCUAGCAACAAAUCCCACUGGGUUAGAGAAAAGGGAGAUAUCUGAGUGAUCAUGGGAACAUUUGUGGACCUCUCUGUGACUCAGUUUCCUUAGGAGACAAAUAGGGAUGAUGAUAUUCAAUUUUCAAGAUCUCUGUAAUGCUUGAAAGAGUUAAUGUUUGUAAACUGAACUAUACAAUGUCUCAAAUGUAGCUUUUGUUCCCAUGUCACGAUGUUGUGUAAAUACAUGUUAAAUGGCAGAUUCUAGCUGGGGGAGUAUUUUUGGCAUGCCACAGGACUCUCUAGACACAGUUAUCUCUGUUAAUAUUUUUAUCGAUAACAUAGGAAGAUAAAGAACACAUUGAGUUUGCCGAUGCAUGAAGUUAAAUGAUAUUAAAAAUUCAAUAGCUGAAUUGAUAUCCAAAAUGAAUGAAGUCUAAGAAGAGGAAAUUUCAAAGUGUAAGGCCUUGUAGUUGGAUUUUUGAAAUCCAAAUUCUGAAAAAUAGGUUGGGAAAAAUAUGGUUUAGCAAUAGUAAGUAUAUCUAUAUGUCUAUCUAUCAUUUUUUCUAUAGGUAAAAGAGAAAAAUGCCUUAUGAGUUAAAUUAAAAGUAAAAAUUUAAGUCUUCAGACAGAUGAAAUUAUACAAAUGGUACCAUUUUUUCAGGACUCAACAAAGGAUUAUAUCUGAAAUACUCCCACUGGACUACAAAGUGAUUAGGCAAAACUGGAAAUAUCUUGUACAGCUCUGAGUACCAGUUUUUGGUAGGAAGAGAGAUAAACUAGAACAUUAGAAAAGAGGAAGGAGAACAUUAGUAACAAUCACUAUUAAUUAUGUAUCAGAUCUGUGUUAAGCAUUUGUUACAGAUUAUUUUAUUCCUCCUUUACAUCUGCCCACCAUGGAAUAUAUCAUAUUUACCCUCAGCCUUGGAGAAGACUCAAGGGAAAGGCAGAUGAACACCAUCCUAAACAUGAAGGCCUGUAAAGGUCAAUGGGAUAAAGCUGCAGGUGGGCUUCUAUUAAAUAUAAACUAGCCAGUCAUAGGUCAGAGAGAGAGAAAAAAGAGACAGAAAUAUUCCAGGAGGAAGUGGGGAGAGAUUGAGCACUGGAUCUGCAGCAUAAUUUAAAGACUCUCAGAUUGGGCUAUGGCAUCAAACAGCUGUCUGUUUAUUGUAGUGUAUUUAGAUGUACUAGGAACUUUCUCUUAUUGCCAUGACAUGUUGAUAACCAGCACCAUUAGUGGAUACUGAUAUUACCUCUAACUUCUGCUGUGACAUCAGCUGGCAUUAAGUUCACCUUGUCUUUUCUGAAGAUAAAUCUAACUUCCUGAAAUGGAUAACUUUCAGCUAUCUUUCACAUAAUCUGCCUCUAAUAUCUACUGAAAACAAUCUCUAAGCAAAAGUUGCUGCAUACAGUCUUAGAAAUCAUUUAAAAAACAAAAAUGAGUAAGCCUUUACCUUCCCAUCAACUUCAUGUACCCUUAGUUGCUCAUGUCUGUUUUAUCCCUAAUAUCUUUUAUUACAGAAAUAUAGACAUUCCCUUUAAUAAAAACGUGGAGGCACAUCAACAGGAAAGCCUGUCAGUCUCAAAUUGCUUAGACUGAGCCUGAGUAAAAUCUAUUGAUUUCAUUUUCAAAUCUGAACACCCUUUCAAACUAUUAUAACUUGUUUUUGUUUUAUUUGAUUUAAUGUGUUGGCUAUUCCACCAAUAUUUCUAAGAUUUUCAGCAAUCUGGCAAUCUGAAAAUGCAUAUAAAGAACAAAAUGGUAGACUAAGGCUUGCCAAACUUUUAUUCUUCAAAAAGAAUUAUUUUUAAAAAAUGCGGAAACUAAACCAACAUUUUCAGAGCUCUGGAAAACAAUAAAAUGUUUAUAGCAAAUAAGUGAACACUCAAUCAAGAAAAACCCAUCUUAAAAGAAUAGAAAAAUUUUGUGGCAUUCGAAAUCACCCUCCUCCUGCCUCUCCCGGGCAUGACAGUGGUCUUCAGUUUGAGAUAGCAGCAGCCUGGUUUCCAGUUCCUUCCCUUCAAUUAGAGGAAGCAGAGCAGACCUUAUCUGAAAAUUACUGUGCCCAUCUCUUUUAACCUGCCUGGUAAAUGCACGAAGGAUUGACACAAAGUGCUCAUCUUUGUUUUGUCUAAUUCACAACUCAGGUGGAAAAGUGGCAGAUACUGCUCAUAAAAUGUGCAAGGUGACUACAGACCUGCAGCCACCUGGGCCAAGAGUUUAUAGGUAGAACAUACAAUAGACCAACUAAACUCUGGAGAAGAAACCAGGCUGAGGCUCUUUGGAAAAUUAGGACAUUCAGAAGCAGCCACAUUUACAGGGACGUUUAGAAGGCCAAGGACCUGUUCAGGUAGAUGCAUGCUCAAAAAAAUCCUGUGAAAACCUUACUCUUUCACCUCAGGCUGAUGUCUAGGCUCAGAAUAGGCCUUUGUUAAAGUGUUGGCUCUUCCAGAACAGAACCAGUUUGCAAAGACUGGGAAAGCUCCUGAAAUUGAAGAAAAUUUUAUCAAAAUAUAAGCUGAACACAAGCCAAAAGAGCAGAGACUUCCAUCAUCACAUGCCACAAGGAAUACCCUUUGCAAAAAUAAUUUGGAAAAUUCUCAAAACAAAUAGACCAUUAUAGCUUUCAACCAUUAAAAACAAAUAAACAAAGCAGGGAAAAUCCUGAGGAGAAGGAGAUUUUGUCAUAGAGUUACCACAGUAUAAUAAUCAAAUUUCUAAUUUUCAACAACAAAAUUCAUAAGAUAUACAAAGAAAUACAAAAACUUGGCCCAUUCCAAGAAGCAAAAUUAACUGACAGAAAUCAUCUUCUAGGAAGUCCAGACACUGAAAUUACUAGACAAAUGUUUAAAACAAUUGUCUACAAUAUGUUCAAAGAGUUAAAGGAAGGCAUGGGCAAGGGUAAUAAAAUAAAUUUAAAAAAGGGAAUAUGAACAAAAUGAGAAUGUCAACAAAAAGAUAGAACAUAUUGUUUUAAAGAAACAAAAAAUCUGGAGCUGAACAUUUCAAUAGUUGAAAUUUAAAAAUUUACUACAGAAGUACAAUAGCAGAUUUGAACAGGAAGAGAAAGAACUUGUGAGUCUGAAAAGAGAAAAACUAAAAUUAUUGUGUCUUAGGAGCAGAAAGACAAAGAAAUCAAGAAAAGUAAACAGAACUUAAUGGACUUGUAAGACACCCACAAGCUGAUCAACAUGUGCAUUUUGGGAUUCUGAGAAGGGGAAGAGAGAAAUAAAAGAACAAAAAAAAAGAUUAUUUGAAGAAAUAAUGGCUGAAUAUUUCUCAAACUUUAUAAAAUUAAUGAAUCUACAAAUCUAAGGAUUUCAAUAAACUCCAAGUAGCUAAACUUCAUAAGCCCACAUAGAGAUACAUUAUAAUCAAACUUGUAAAAGACAAAGAAUCUUGAAAGCAGCAAGAGAGAUGUGACUCCUCCACAUACCAGAUCCAGAAAAUCUGUCCUUCAAGAUUUGGGGAGAAAUCAAGAUAUUCCAUAAUAUGCUAAAUCUGUGAGAGUUUACUGCUACUAGACCUGCCCUACAAGAAAUGCCAAAGGGAGUCUUUAAGGUUGAAAUUUUAAAAAGCUACACAGUAACUCAAAGCUUCAUGAACAUAGAGUGAUCUCCAAUAAAUGUAAAUAUAACGUGUGGAGAAACAGAAAAAGGAGCCACUGUUAUAGUAAUUUUCAUUUGUAAUUGUACUUUGUAUUUACUAUAAGAUUUAAAAGACAAAUAUGUUAAUUAUUAUAAAUCAAUGUUAUUGGUCACAUAAUGCAUAAAGAUAUACUUUGUGACAUCAGAAACAUAAAAGAGAGCAGAAAGAGUAAAGUUGUAGAGUUACUACUUGCAAUAAUAGUUAAUUUGGCAUUAGUUGAAAUGAGAGUGUAAUAAUUUUAAGAUGUUAUAUAUAAUCCCCAGGGUAACUGCAAAUGAAAUAUCUAUAGUCUAUAUGCAAAAGAAAAUGAGAAGAGAAGCAAAACAUGUCAUUACACACACAAAAUUUCAACGGAACACAAAAUAAGCCAGUAAUGGAGGAAAUUAUGGCAAAUAACGAAAAGGCAAAAAUCUUCCAUUAUUAGGAAUUACCUUAAAUAUAAAUGGGUUAAACUAUCCAAUCAAAAGGCAGAGAUAGGUAAAAUGGAUAACAACACAAUUAAACAAACCGUUAUCCAACUCUAUGCUGCCUACAAAAUACUCACUUUAGACCUAAAGGGAUAAAUAGGAUAAAAUUGGAAGAAUGAAAAAACACACUUCACAUAAAUAGUAACCAGAGGAGAGCCGAGGGGGCGAUACUAUCAGAUAAAAUAGAUUUUAAGUCAGAAACUAUUCUAAGAGACAAAGAAGAAAAUCAUAUACUGAUAAAAUGAUAAGGUAAUAUGAAGACACCAAUUGUAAAUAUAUAUGCACCAAAUAACAGAGCCCCAACAUCUAUCAGGCAAACAUUGGUAGAACUGUAAGGAGAAAUAGUUCUACAACAAUAGCUGGAGACUUCUAUACUUCACUUUCAAUAACUGUCCUCUUCCCUACUGCCGAUCAUGUAAAUCUACCUACGUUUUCAUCCUUAUCCAUCCCUUGUUCUUCCCGUUAUCAUGGGGAAAUGCUCUCUCUCAUCACAUAUGUGUGAAUUUUCCAGUUCUCCUUCUGUUAUUUUUAGCUUCAUUCCAUAGUGAUUAAAAAAAUGUUGUAUAAUUUCAGUCUUUUAAAAUUGAUUAACACUUGUUUUGUAGCCUAAGAUAUGCUCUACACUGGGGACUAUUCCAUAUGUACUUGAGAAAAAUAUGUAUUCUGCUCUUGUUGGGUAGAGUGUUCUAUAUUUGUCUGUUAAAUCUAAUUUGUUUAUAGUGUUGUUCAAGUUCUCUUUUCUGUUAUGCAUCACUAGUAUAAAAUACAAUAAAAUAAAAAUUCAAUUUAAUUCCACAUCCCCUGCCAGAUCCCCAUUCUUUCAAACUCAAUUCUUGAAAGACUAGGGAUGGAAGAUGUAUGUGGAUUUGCAGGAUUGGCAGUGGGGCAAAGAUAACAUUUAUUUGUGAAGCUUACUGUUCUGAGAAGGAGGAUAUGAUGUCAUCUACUUUAGAUGAGAAGGAAGUUAAAGUGUUGUAUGUGUUAGAGGAAAGAGGGAAAAGUCUUCAAGAGUUGUUAAGUUUGAAGGUAAGAUUUGGCUAGUUUUGAUGGUAAUUGGAGUUUAGAAGCUGUUGUUUUGAUUUUAGUAAGCCAGAACUCAAUCUAAUGUGCUUUAGGUUUCCAAACAUUAUUUAGAGGCCAUUCUCCUAGAUGAACUGUGGGACCCUACUCAAUUUAUGUUUUAUUAUUUAUUUAUUACAUAAACUCAGAUGCUUAUAAAACACUUUAGGCAGUUUAAACUGUCAAUUUUAUUUAUUUUAAUUGCCUAUUUCUAUAAAAGCCUAAGGUCAAAUGUAAAAAAUAAGACAGGUUUAAAACAGCAUAAAGAAUAUACAAAUAUAUGUUUCACAUAUCUGGAAUCAUUUAAUUAAUUAAUAUAUUUAGCUAGGGGCUUCCUGGCAAACAAAGCAAAAGGGAUACACAUUGAAAUAUAGAUUUUAUAUCAUAUAAAGGAAAUCUCCUGGGAAAAAAUAAUUUUUCUGGUACUAAACUUCUAGCACAAACAGUGUCAUAUAGAUCUUCAUCUAUGGGACAUUAAGUGAUAUGAUGGGCAAUGUCUUCAACUCUGACCUUCUGAAAAUACAGAACAUUCUUCGAAAGGUCUUGUAAUACCUUCCUAUGAAGGCUGAGAAUAUAAUGUUAAAUCUCAACUCAAAGAAGACAUUGCUUUGAAAAAUUAAGAUUUUAUUGCCCUGGUAGUUGUGGUUUGAUGAUUUACUUUAAUCUGAAGAUAAAACUUUGGGUUCUUAGAGGGGAGGAGAGAUGACUAAUUUGUGCCUCCAUCCACCACGCUGAAAUAUUUUCUGUCUUUAGCCGGUCUUUGGCAGGAAUGAAUGUAAGAUAAAUUUCUCGUUGAAUAUUCAGACAGGAGUCUACAAAUGUUAGAUAGUCUUCCAGCUCACUAAAUGCAUUCUUCAGUUGUGCUUCCUGCACUAUUCAUUCACGGGAUUGAAAUUUUAUUACUAUUUUUAUCAGUAUUAUAAUCAAUACUAUUUUUAUAAUCAUAAUUUUAUUUCUGAACUCUUUAAUUGCCUUUGUAGUGGACUGCCUAGCUUCUUACAUCUCUUUUAGGGUUUUAACUGUGGUAUUUAUUUAUGUAUUUAUUUAUGAGACAGAGUCUCUCUCAGUCGCCCAGGCUGGAGUGCAGUGGUGUGAUCUCGGGUCACUGAAACCUCCGCCUCCUCAGUUCAAGCAAUUCUCCUGCCUCAGCCUCCUGAGUAGCUGGGACUACAGGCGUGCGCCACCACGCCCCGGGUUAUUUUUGCAUUUUAGUAGAGACAGGGUUUCACCAUGUUGCCCCGGCUGGUCUCACAUGCCUGACCUCAGGUGAUCAACUGGCCUCAGCCUCCCAAAGUGCUGGGAUUACAGGCGUGAGCCACUGCACCUGGCCAACUGUGCUUAUUUUAAUAUAUUGAUCUGUUUGCUCUGUUUCCCAAAGUUGUGGAGAUAGGUAUCUUUCUUGUCUUUGUCCAAUUGUGUGUGUUUCUUGUUCAUAUGCACUAGUUUAUGCAUCUAAUUACAGAGGCCUUCCUCAGUGAUGAAGAGAAAAUACCUUUUAAGUAUGAAAGCUUUAUUUCCAGCCUGGGUGUUACCGUACUGUUUCCUGAUCCCUUCAGAAAGUUUAGAGUUGUAAAGGGCUUGGUGGCCUAGACCCUCCAGAUAUGGCAUCCGAAGUGUCAUCCCAUAGAGUACCCUUUCUGCUAUCUCUCUUUGGAGCACCCCAGGACAUAAUUCUACCUUCCAUAAAAGUUCUCUCCUGAUAGAUUUCUGGCUCUUGUCCCCUUCUUAAGUCCAAUUUAACAUGCCUUCCAUCUUUAAGGUAUAUAUUUUAAAUUUCUGAUUCAAUAUGAAUUUCUUUUUUCUCAGGUAAAAUAAGUUUAACAAUAAAUUGCUGUAAUCACUAGGUAUUUGAGGCAGGGGACGAGGAGGACAUUGCCAGAUAUGUUACAUCUGUCAUCUUGUUUAAAUUCUUGAUGGUUUCUGUGGGGUUGAGACUAUUAAAGAAAUAAACACUUAAUUAAAUGGCUCCAUGAAAAGGUACUUCUGAUGAGUAGAAGUCCCAAAAUCUGAUUUUAAACAUGACCAGAUUUUACAUACAGAAUAAUAUAAAGGAUUUACUCUAUUGAUUCAUGAAGCUGAAAAUGAACAAACCUAACAUUUAAAUUAUGAUUUUCUGUAGCUGAGACCUCUUUUUCAUAGCUCAUUGAGUAUUUUGUAGAGUAUAACUGCCUGCACAGAAAAUACUCAUUCACUGAUUUUUAUAUGGAUCUUUUUAUUUAGAAAAAUAGUUGUCAACUGCUUUUACAUUCAAACAUUCUGAAAAUUAAGUUUUAUUUUUCAGAUAAUCUAAAUUAUUUUUAUCUUCUACGGUACUUCUCAUAACAAUAAUGCUUACAGUAAUUUAAGAGAGAUUUUACAUUUGUAAACUGUAAAAUGCUGUUAAGAGAUGACACGCUGUUUUUGUUUCACAGCCUGCAAUCUCAAAAUUUGAUAAAGUGGUUGUUUGAUCAAUACCUGAGCUUAAGAAAAAAAUAGACAAAUACUUUUCUUUCACAGAUAAUAUGGAAAUGCUUAUUGAAGGCAUCAGUAGUUUUCAAGCAUUUCCAAUAGCCUGUGGGUCACCACCUCCACAGUAUGAAACAAGAAGCAAUAGUGUUACUGUUUGUGUCCACGAUUCCCGGGAUAAGUGACUUAGUUGCGUUCAUUUUUGCCUCUUGAAUCUUUCUCUACUAAGUCCAUGUGAAACACACAAACAUUCACAUGCACAUUAAGAAAAAUGAUGUCAAUCACUUUCAUGCUUUUCCGUUUCUUUUAUUUCUUGGUACAAAGGAUCACAACCUAAAUGUGGAUUAUUCAUAAGACAGAUAUCAUGUUAAACAGGAAUGUAUGCUUUCAAUAUGAAUAAUGGUCUCUAAAGAAUAAAAAAAGUGCCUGCUUUCAAACACAGGUGACCUAGUGAGCACUUUCUAAAUGACUAGGGGAACUCAGUUUUUUCUUCUGGAAAAUGGAAUUGAUAAUAUUAAAUAUUUGGUGAAGGGCUAUUUGGAUGUGGAACCGCAUAAAUUAUAUUCAUGAUAUUGGUAUCUGAUAAUUGCAUUUCCAAUAGGAAUUACAAUUAAGACUCUUGCAAUAUGACAUACUUUUGAUCAUUUUAAUUUCCUUUGUGAUUGCAGAGAAUGAUAAUUCUUUGGGGGACUUGACUCCAAUUUUCACAUUACAAAAGAAAAGUUUGGAUAAUGGAAUAAUGCAGAGAUGAAGGAAGUCUUGAUCUCCAAUCGCUUAUUUCCCCCUUUUCCAUUUCUGCAGUGGGGAUGCCACCUGUGUUCUGCUCAUUAUAAAACUUUUAGCAAGAGGCUAAUGAAAUGCAAAGCUUUCUAUAAGACCAGCACCAGCCUGCCUAUCAAAUCGUCUGAAAUAUUUAUUUGCCCUCUUGAAUAAUUGAUAGGGGCAUCAGCUCUCCCGGUCAAUUGAUUUAUUAAGGGACUGUUUGGAAUUAAACAGCUUAAAGAUAUUAGAUUUAGCAGUGAUCUUGCUUGUUAGCAUAUUCAUUUACCUACAGGAGCUCCCAUUAGAUAUUGUUAAUACAUGACGUCUCUAGUCACGGCCUGUAUCUCCUCAAAUUGCAUUAACGCCAGGCUGUUUAGCCACAGAAUAACAGGUUUGAUUGAGUGCUUGGGUUUGGUGUAAUUAGAUUUUCCUAGAAGAGGGGGGACUACUUUAAUGCCAUAUGCAUUAAACUAGAUAUGUCAUCAGCAUUACUGUAAUUGGUGAACAGGAACGCUGGAGACCUGGCUGUAUGUGAAUGUUUGUGUUUAUGGCUCACCCGUCCAUUCUCAUAGAUGGCACAUAAUAGCUAUGCUUACUUACAUAUGCAUGAUCCUGAGGGGGAAAAAAACCUGACCUCUUUAAUAAGCAUCUCUUUUGAAAAAGGUGGAAAAUUCUAUCCUGAGUAAUGGGAUCAAUUUUUCGUCUGUUAAAACUGCCAAUUAUUUCUCUUACUGAAAAGGUCAUGUGGCUGGUUAAUCAAUGAUGAAAAUAGUAUGGGAAUAUAUGUGGGUAUAUUCAUGUGUUUGAUUUGCAUUUCACUCUAAGACUAUCUGCUUCGGUUUCCAAUUGUUAUCCUGAUUGGGGGCCACAAACACACCAGCAGAGCUCUCUUUCCCCAGUGUUUUCUCUAAGGAAUUACACCUUCUUAUUAACAGAGAUGCAUAGAGAAAAUGAAAUCAUUUCUGGUCACUUUUCCCUUUUGGAGCUAAUUCAGUAUGUGCAAAGAAGCACUAACUUUGCACAUUCAGGAACAAUGUAUCCCCCUAUAGCAACCUGUGUAGUGGGAGAACGUGGGAGUGUGAAUGAAACUAGCGUUAGACCAAUUGAAAGGUAAGCCAAUUUUUCUUUCCUAUUUCCAUGUUCAUUUACUGUCUGUCUUCCCCAGGCUGUAAGAGCCCUUUGGAUUACAUCCCAAGUAUCCACAACUUAAACAGGGAGGCACACUUGGAACUUACCUUUCUCUUUCUGUGAAUCGCCUUUUCUACAUUAAAGUUAUGAAAAUAUAAUAUGUUUGGCCGGGCUUGGUGGCUCAUGCCUGUAAUCCCAGCACUUUGGAGGCCAAAGUGGGAGGAUCACUUGAGGUCAGGAGUUCGAGACCAGCCUGGCCAACAUGGUGAAACUCCAUCUCUAUUAAAAAUACAAAAAUUAGCCAGGUGUGGUGGUGGGCACCUGUAAUCCCAGUUACUAGGGAGGCUAAGGCAGGAGAAUCACUUGAACCCUGGAGGUGCAGGUUGCAGUGAGCCGAGAUCACACUACUAAAUGCCAGCCUGGAGAUAUAUAUAUAUAUAUAGAGAGAGAGAGACAGAGAGAGAGAGAGAGAAAACUUAUAUGUAUAUAGAUAUAUAUAUAUAGAAAGCUUAUAUAUACACAUAUAUAUUAUGUGUACGUAUGUUUAUAUAUGUAUAUACACGUGUGUGUGUGUUUGUGUGUAUAUAUAUAUAUAUAUAUGCCUUCUUCCGCAGUUCCUUAAGACCUUGAUUGCACACAAAAAAAUGAAAAGAUUAUUUCAUUUUAUGUUACAUAUAUAUCAAUAAGUAAUAAUAAAACUUAUAGGUAACCUUGCUAUCCACAAGGCAGGGACCCAUAGGUUGUCCCAUUUAUGGUGACGUUUGGUUAAAGACUACAUUUGGUUAAAGACUCUGAGGUCUACAUUUGGUUAAAGACUCAGGCUCCGGGAGAUCAAGCUACCUCUCUGAGUUCACAAAGCUAAUAAAAGCAGAAUCAAAAUUUGAAUCAUUUUAAUGUCCAUGCCCUUCCCACUAUAACAUGCUGCCUACUUAAUGACAUUGACAGUGAUCAGGCAUUUUUUUUUUGAAGCUGACUUCUUAAUGUAAAGGAGGAGCCUAGAUUGGUUUAAUUUUGGUGAUCAGAUAGGCUAAUUUAAAUGGCCAUCACCUUGGCAGAUGUGUAAGAUUGAUUUUUAGGGUAAGGAGGAGUUUAGGGAAGGGAUAAUCACAGUUCUCCUGACUGAUGUCUGAUACUUGAGGGAGAUGGUGAAAGGGGAAUUAGAAAGCUUAGUAAGUGACUUGGUGUCCUUUAAAUUCUGUAUAGGUGACUUUGACUCUCUUAACACCGCAAGUACUUUCCUGGGGUUGAAGAGCAGCGGCAGCUCCAAUGCUUAUAUAGAAGGGGAUUAAGGUAGCAAUCAUUGGAAGAAACCUUGUUUAAAACUAUGUCUAUAUAGCCAACACCACACUUUUACUAGGGUUGGGGACCCGUGCAGAUUAUAUGGCAGAGUUUAAAGUACUGCCCCAACCCCCACUUCUGAUCAUACCCAUCUGAUGAGAGAGGAAGAAGGCUGGCAAAAAAGCAAGAGUUACCUGAAAUUUAAUUCCACUGACAAGUUGCAGGACUGACACGAUCCUUCUUGGCUGUAAACAAAAUUAGUGUAAAGAUAUGUAUGAAAGAAGUCUCCUCUAAAUUUGAGAUGACUUUCUAGAUCUCCAAAUGAACGUCUCAUAGCAAAAUGAUUCCUCAAUUUUUAGAAAAGCUUAUGAACAAUGAGUUACAUCAG
RNAcentral lists this long non-coding RNA (13943 nucleotides) under Homo sapiens (human). Its description in RNAcentral is "HSALNT0383411". Lineage: Eukaryota; Metazoa; Chordata; Mammalia; Primates; Hominidae. The record is from RNAcentral.